GCAAAGGAACAAACAAGAUUUAUAUUGAGCGCAAAUAAUCAAUCCAUUACAAUAAUCAUCUAGCCUAAUCCCCAAAUCAAAGAGAAAUUUAGCCUAUCAUGUUCAACAAUAACAUACCCAAUGAAAAGAGAAACAUAAAUGAAAAAGAGAGAAAGAAUGAACAAAUCCUAUUGAGAAGCUUGCUUCAAUCUUCUCUCAUCUUCAAUCCUUCUUCAAAUGGGUAGGAAUGAGUAUGAAUGUUGGGGAUUAGGGCUUGGAUAUGGAGGUAGGAAUGUUGGGGAUGAUGAAUAUGGGUGAGUAUGAGGUUGGGGAAGAUGAAUAAUGUGAGGAAAAGGGGGAGAAAAGGGGUUUAAGGGCUGAAAAAACGCGACUACCGCUCUUUUCCCGCGGUCAUGGCCCGCGCCGUGGUGCUCAAACGUGGGCAAAACUCAGGGAACCCGCGGUCCCGCCCCGCGGCCGCGGGUGGUGACCGCGGUACACCCCUGGAACUUGGGAACAGCUGACCCGCGGUCCCACCCCGCGGCCGCGGGUGGUAACCGCGNUAAACAAGGAGGUGAGUGGUUUAAUUAUCAACUAAAUACUCAACAAGUGCAAAGACAAAUAAAAUCAAAUAAGCAAAGUGGAUUAACAAGUGAUUAAGGCGAUUUAGGGACUAGGCAUCGAUGAUUAAGCAAAGGACUUCAAUUAUAACUCAAUACUAAUCUUGACGAACCUAAUUAAUCUAGAGUGAUCUCCCAACUAGUUCUAGCCCCUCCCGGACGACUAGAGCGGUAGAUUACGGGUCAUAGUUGCCGUCCCCGGUCAACUUCUAACCUAUGACUCCCAAAAGCACACAAAGAUCGACAUACUCUCACCCAACUCUCAACCUCCCGGUUAUCGAAUUGAUAUGUUUCAAACACCUUAUCUAUUGCAAUUAUCCUCUCCCGAUUCAAAGUGCAAAUUAGAAAUGCAUAGAAUGUGGCCAACAAUCCAUACAAGAAAUAAAUCAAGGGUUUGAAAAGAUAAUGUGCAAAUGAACAAACAAGAUUUAUAUUGAGCAUAAAUAAUCAAUCCAUUACAAUAAUCAUCUAGCCUAAUCCCCAAAUCAAAGAGAAAUUUAGCCUAUCAUGUUCAACAAUAACAUACCCAAUGAAAAGAGAAACAUAAAUGAAAAAGAGAGAAAGAAUGAACAAAUCCUAUUGAGAAGCUUGCUUCAAUCUUCUCUCAUCUUCAAUCCUUCUUCAAAUGGGUAGGAAUGAGUAUGAAUGUUGGGGAUUAGGGCUUGGAUAUGGAGGUAGGAAUGUUGGGGAUGAUGAAUAUGGGUGAGUAUGAGGUUGGGGAAGAUGAAUAAUGUGAGGAAAAGGGGGAGAAAGGGGUUUAAGGGCUGAAAAACGCGACUCCGCUCUUUUCCCGCGGUCAUGGCCCGCGCCCGUGGUGCUCAAACGUGGGCAAAAACUCAGGGAACCCGCGGUCCCGCCCCGCGGCCGCGGGUGGUGACCGCGGUACACCCCUGGAAUUGGGAACAGCUGACCCGCGGUCCCACCCCGCGGCCGCGGGUGGUGACCGCGGGGUACUGGGCGUAUUGCGCAGUCCGCUCGUUUUGCUCCGUUCUCCCUCGUCCGGACUCGGAUUUGGUCGCCGUUUG
This 1624-nucleotide long non-coding RNA is filed under the name Salvia miltiorrhiza (redroot sage). RNAcentral describes it as "long non-coding RNA (SMIL_LNC005267)". The record is from RNAcentral. Lineage: Eukaryota; Viridiplantae; Streptophyta; Magnoliopsida; Lamiales; Lamiaceae.